RNAcentral lists this ribosomal RNA (253 nucleotides) under uncultured bacterium. Its description in RNAcentral is "partial 16S ribosomal RNA". It matches the Rfam family "Bacterial small subunit ribosomal RNA", at positions 524 to 776 of the family's 1533-position model. The record is from RNAcentral.
UACGUAGGGGGCAAGCGUUGUUCGGAAUUACUGGGCGUAAAGCGUGCGUAGGCGGUUGGUUAAGUCUGUCGUGAAAGCCCUGGGCUCAACCUGGGAAUGGCGAUGGAUACUGGCGAGCUAGAGUGUGAUAGAGGAUGGCGGAAUUCCCGGUGUAGCGGUGAAAUGCGUAGAGAUCGGGAGGAACAUCCGUGGCGAAGGCGGCCAUCUGGAUCAACACUGACGCUGAGGCACGAAAGCGUGGGGAGCAAACAGG